This 856-nucleotide ribosomal RNA is filed under the name uncultured bacterium. RNAcentral describes it as "bacterial SSU rRNA". It matches the Rfam family "Bacterial small subunit ribosomal RNA", at positions 8 to 863 of the family's 1533-position model. The record is from RNAcentral.
AGAGUUUGAUCCUGGCUCAGGAUGAACGCUGGCGGCGUGCUUAACACAUGCAAGUCGAACGAAGCAUAGGAGUGGAAUUUUUCGGAAGGAAACAACUAUGACUGAGUGGCGGACGGGUGAGUAACGCGUGGGUAACCUGCCUCAUACAGGGGGAUAACAGUUAGAAAUGACUGCUAAUACCGCAUAAGCGCACAAAACCGCAUGGUUUGGUGUGAAAAACUGAGGUGGUAUGAGAUGGACCUGCGUCUGAUUAGCUAGUUGGAGAGGUAACGGCUCACCAAGGCAACGAUCAGUAGCCGACCUGAGAGGGUGACCGGCCACAUUGGGACUGAGACACGGCCCAAACUCCUACGGGAGGCAGCAGUGGGGAAUAUUGCACAAUGGGGGAAACCCUGAUGCAGCAACGCCGCGUGAGUGAAGAAGUAUUUCGGUAUGUAAAGCUCUAUCAGCAGGGAAGAAGAGAGACGGUACCUGACUAAGAAGCCCCGGCUAACUACGUGCCAGCAGCCGCGGUAAUACGUAGGGGGCAAGCGUUAUCCGGAUUUACUGGGUGUAAAGGGAGCGUAGACGGCUUGAUAAGUCUGAAGUGAAAGGCCAAGGCUUAACCAUGGAACUGCUUUGGAAACUAUGAGGCUAGAGUGCUGGAGAGGUAAGCGGAAUUCCUAGUGUAGCGGUGAAAUGCGUAGAUAUUAGGAGGAACACCAGUGGCGAAGGCGGCUUACUGGACAGAAACUGACGUUGAGGCUCGAAAGCGUGGGGAGCAAACAGGAUUAGAUACCCUGGUAGUCCACGCGGUAAACGAUGAAUGCUAGGUGUUGGUGGGCAAAGCCCAUCCGUGCCGUCCCAAACGCAAUAA